UUUUUAAACUAAAUUGUUAAAAAAAAAUAUUCUGAUUAAGAGAUUAUCGAUAUCCGAUCAACGUAAUUUUGUAUAGGUAUAAAGUACUCAACGAGCUCUACAUAUUGAACGGUUUUAAUUAUUGAAACGGGACCCGUGGUGAGCUAUACGGAUCUAACAGUACGCUCCAAUCCACUAUAUAGACAAGAGAGAAGCCAUCUCUUUUAAGAAAUCAACAAUUGGACUAGAGUCCAAUUUAUGGGAUUUGGGCCCACUUCAAGCUUAUCUUGAUGAUUUAAAUUACUCAAUUUUUAGAGUUGCCAAGUCAAUGAACAUAUGAUAAUUAAAUUGAUUCGAUAUUAGUGGUUGCAUUAUUGAAUUAAAUUUGUCUAAAAAAUAGAUAAUGUAACGACGCGGACAUGCAUUUGCUUAAUUAUUCCCCCGAUUGCAUUGUUAUGUGCUAAUUAAUAUGUGUUUGAUGAGAAAUUGCAUGUGAAAUAGAAAGAUUUAUAUUUAUAUCUGUUGAUUUUAGAAAAAUCUGCUUCAAUUACAACUUUAAAUUGAAAGUUGAAGGUCUUAGAGGCACCAGAAAUCAAAACUGAUUAAAUAUUUGUGAUCAGCAUAAUUUUUAGAGCCUAAUAUGAAGUUUUAUAAAAAUCUGAUUCAGAAUGAAUUAAUUGGAUUUAAUUUAUAUAUAUGUAUAAGAACUUUAGUUGAGCCUUAGACUCAACAAAUAAAAGUCUAAGAGAGAGAGAGAGAGAGAGAGAGAGAGAGAGAGAGAGAGAGAGACUUCCAGAGACUAAGAGAAGAAAGAAGAAAAGAAGUGAAAGAAGAAGAACAAAGGGGGAAUUAAGCCAAAUCUUCAUCAAAUCAACCAUCUAAGGUUGAACUGUUGAGGUGUAUCACUGACCAAGCACUGUAAGUGACGUGAAGAUCAAGCCCAAAUGCACACCGUUAGUUGAGCCACCGAUCAAACCUAUGGAGUUUUGUUUGGUGCCUCCGAGUUGGGGCUAGCUAGGUCUAGGCGACCGUUGUCAAGUUUUUGAUCAUGAUGUUGACAUUUUGAUAUUUGUGUAUGUCUAUAAAUGUUUUUGUACAAGAUGUGAUGUAUGUAUUGUACAGUGGGUAAAUUAAUGUUAUAUGCAUUUGCGUUUGUUCAUAUAGAUGCACAACUCAAUGGGCUAUUUGU
This is a non-coding RNA of Camellia sinensis, 1168 nucleotides long. The record is from RefSeq and is a predicted model, not a curated record. Lineage: Eukaryota; Viridiplantae; Streptophyta; Magnoliopsida; Ericales; Theaceae.